Molecule: long non-coding RNA, 1965 nt
Organism: Calidris pugnax (ruff)
Lineage: Eukaryota; Metazoa; Chordata; Aves; Charadriiformes; Scolopacidae
Exons: 6
Source: RefSeq, a predicted model, not a curated record
CCACCCAGAAGCUGGAAAUACUUGACAACUUUCAGUGGUUUUUUUUUUCCCCUUCUAUCAGCAACUCAGAAAUACAGAACCCCGUGAAAAUGAAUGAAAAGCCCUGCUUAUGUAAAGCUGGUAGAGCUUUGCUGCACAUUCAGAUCGUAUUUGAACCAAAGAUUAACAUGAAGAUGAGGUUUUAUUAUUCUUCAUCCCUCCUGCUCUUCCUUGUUUCCCCGUAAUGGAUUUUGAUUUAUUUGAUGAUGGGAUCAGACUUCUCUUUAUCAUCAGGAACAUGUUUUCCACUAAGGAAUGGGAGGGGAUGCAGCAGCUACUCCAAAUUGCAAAUGUCCUAGAAUCAGAACUUACCAGCCAAUUCUGUCAACGUAGCAGAAGGUGGAAAAGAGUACAAUUUAGUCUUCCAUAGAAAUAUUGACUCUGUUGUGCUCACAACACUGCUCAUGCUUUAUGGUACUGUAUAAUCGGAAAGAGACAGACAAAUCAAAGAUGUACAGCAGAAAAAGCAAACUAGCAAUGACUGCUUCAAUCAGCCCUGGUACGAGUGCUGCUGACCCUUCUCCUGCUGCAAGCAGGAAGAUCUUGCAUAAGUACAGAGUGCCUGAGCCAGCAAUCUGCACGGUAACCAACCUUCAGCUCCAGUGAACAGCACCAAGCUCCAGCCUUAGGACACCUGGACUCUAGCAGCUGGUUUCUUUUGUAACUGCCUCCAGCCACACCUUUUGAAAGCACGCUCUUUUUUCUGCCUGCUACAGAAAAACCACAGCACAUUUCUGCAAGAAAUCAAAGGUCUCAAGGAGAGGACUGGCAAACAGCUGCCCUAUCAAGCCAGAGGCCCACACGAGCAAAGCAGAAGGAGGGAGGAGAUGAAGGACAGAGCAUCAGAGGGCAUCAGGAGCAGGAAGUGAAAGCCCUGAAGACAUGGUGGCCGUGAGCCCUUGCUUCCGUUCUCUCCCAUUCCACCUCCACUGCAAAACUGAGAAAUCUGGAAUCAGCUCAGCUCUGUGGCUGUACCUGGAAGUUCAAGUUAGUCUCCAGAAGACGAAACAGAAGAAGAGAAAGAGUGCAAAGCUUCAACAGAUAUUACUGUCCUGCAGUUGUAAGUUAGGGCUGCCCUUUUCAAGGGCAGGAAAAGUACUGCUUCUUGUGCAAGAGCCAGCAUCCCAGGAAGAGCUCCGUCUGAGCCAAAUCAUCACUUGGGUUUGUUACUUACCCUGUGCAUGGUAACCUCUGGCUUAAAACCAAGUUUGCGGCACUUCACUGUAGAAGUGAUGAUGGGCUAAAUUGCUUCCUGAGUGGCACCCACAAAUAAAUAUUAGAGCUGAUCAAACAAAACACAAGGCUCUGAAGUAACAGCAAAAACAGCAAUUAGUUUAAAUUUGUCAUUGAAAACAUAAUUUUUUGGAAGCUGAAAAUAGUUCAGUUACAGCAUUUUGCUGAAAGCCAAAAGAGAGUAUGUGAGCUCUUUUCCAAGAUUCAGCAAGGGAAAAGAAGAUAAAACAGAGGAGACCAUGGAACCAACAUUGCAACCAUUUCCACUCCAGGUCUGUGAUUUCAUUCUGGGUCCCAUAUACCGUCAGGAUAGUGAUAGCACUUCAGCCUCCUGACUGACACGGUAUGAAAGAGCUGGUGAGGGGCUGUGAUGCUAUACAGACAUCAAACUCCCACCUAGAGGGACCCUCUCAUUAGUUUCAUCUUCAUGCUAUGGCACCUGUCCUACCACAAGAACUGGAAACAGGGAGCAAGACUGCACUUGCAGACCAUUUUGAUCACCUCCACUAGGAAAGUAGGGAUGUCUUUUUCUGUAGGAAAUGCUGUGCUAAGUGAAACUUAGAAGUCUGAACAUAUAUGACAAAAACACAGAACACUCUCUAGCAGUAAUCAUAGAAUCAUAGAACGGUUUGGGUUGGAAGGAACCUUAAAAAUUGAGUUCCAACCCCCCUGCUCUGGGCAAGGACGCUUCCC